RNAcentral lists this long non-coding RNA (2184 nucleotides) under Castor canadensis (American beaver). RNAcentral's name for it is "lncRNA (ENSCCNG00000004768.1)". The record is from RNAcentral. Lineage: Eukaryota; Metazoa; Chordata; Mammalia; Rodentia; Castoridae.
UUGGUACGGCUGGAGAAGUUAAAAUGAUCUCAUUAGUGAAAGUACUUUGAAAACCACGUGAUCUUGUAGAAAUGGAAGUCCUUGAUGUUGUCACGUUAAGAGACCAACGUGGUAGCUAUUAGCAUUAUUGGUUAAAUAUUUCUGGCUCUCCACCAUUCAAACAUUUGGGAACAAUCUAUUUCAUGGCCUCAUUGUGGCUGGAUGGGCCACACACUAGUCCUGACCAGCAAGUGGUACCUUAUAUUGCCAUUAUGUCAAGACACGAAGAGCUUUGUACUUGUCAGUUUUAGUCUAGAGCCUUAACUUGUUGGCUUGUGAUGCUCCAGACCUCUUUGUCCUCUGCUGUAGUCAUUUGUGAAACUUUCACAUAUUGGCCGCUCCAUCAGCCCAUAGUGAGGAAGACACCAAACUCCAGGCAAAUGGCCAUGAGUAUGUUACACGAGCAAAAGGAGAAAAAAAAGAUUGUAGCAUUAUGACUUUGAGGUCUUUUGUCAGGCAGCAUCUCUUACUCUGUCCUGACUUAGACAACCGACUCAAUUAACUAAUGAACUGUAUUAUUGCUAAGUAAUUCUUACAACUACUGUUUUCUUUUUUCUUAGUGGUUGGUUAAGUUCAAGGUCAUUUCUAAUGAUGCAUCAGAAUUCAGCCACAGGAAUAACCCCUAAGGUCAUACUCAGAUACUUUUUCAAUUGUUUAUAAGGUUGCAGCCUCUUCAUCUGUAUUCAGUGUGCUUGCUGUUUGGACAACUCUCUCUUGUUCCCUGGGGACCUACCCAAAUUCCACUGGGGUAACUGCCGGAAGGCUUGGUGGGCCAACCUGCUGCUGCUGAACAACUAUGUGUCCGUUCAGAAUGCGAAGUAAAUAUGUCCUUGUCCUCCCUGGAGCCGUGCUGUUCUUGGCAUCUUUCACUGUCACUGCUCUGCUCAUGCUGACUUAUAAACUUCUGGUGGCAUCUCCAUCAGCAGUCAGGUCUUGUGAACCGAGAACUUUCCUGUGGUCUCCGGAGCUUUCCAGCCAACAUCAGUUAUGCUUGCUGCCUGGUGCACCCCAUCGUGGUCAUCCUCUACAGUGGACUACAGGACACCCUGAUUCACUACACUGACACCAACAUGGUGAGCUAGUGCCCAGUCGUUGGUCCUGCCACAUGCAGCAGCCCAGUUUUGCAAUAGCAAACUGCUGGCCCUGAUAGCCUGUUUUGUUUUUUUUUCUAAAGAGCUUUCUUGUUCUGUUUUAUUGAAGGGAGGGAGGAAGGCUUCAGAACAGCAUAACAUCUUUAUUUUAAUGUUCAGAGCUGUUUGUUCUACACAUGCAUUUCAUAGAGCCAGAAUGGCACCCUAAGAUCUGAACACGCAGGAAUCAUGGAGUAAACUGUCUCCUGUGUCCUUUUUCCCUGCAGUUCUAUCUUUUCUCUGGACACCAUGUGUUGACCUUCGUCUCUGACCUGGCCCUAACAUUGUUCAUUGAGCAGCCAUGGCAGGAGCUGAAACGGGACCUGUGUGGGCCAGUUCCUGCUGUGCCAUGACAGCUCUGACUAAACCUGAAGGAAUGGAUGGUCCUUGGUGGGUGGUGAUGAGCAGAGGCAGAGUGGCUGCAUGAGUGCAAUUAAUGCUUCUGUUCCUGAAAUGUGAAUGUGAAUUUUGUGAAUGUUUAAUACAUUUAAGUUCUCUCUGUUCACUAUACAAGACUUCUAAGAGAUAUAUAUACACACACACAUUUAGGUUUUAAUAUAUAUAUGUCUAUAUAUCUAAGAUCUAUGUAUCUAAUUUUUUUGUGAUAGGGUUUCUGUGUAUAGUUAGGGCAGGCCUUGGACUCGCUGUGUAGCCCAGGCUGGUCUCAAACCCAACAUCCUCCUAUCUCUCCUCCAAAGCACUGGGAUUAUAGACGUGUGACACCUUCUGAUAAUUUUUGUAGUAACACAAUAAUCACCCUCUGUUGGACCUUCAGCAAAGACCUGGAUUUUAUGGGUUUUUUUUUGUCCUGGCUUAGAUUUAAUUUUCUACAUCAAUCAUCAUAGUGUGUUAAGGUAAAUUAAAAUGGAGGCCUUGUAUGCAGAAUCCUGGAGCAGACAAAGCUGGUUAGCCCUUCUAAGUCACCUCAACCUUGCUUAUUUGCAAAUAGAAGCAAAACUAAAUGUGAGCUAUUUCUUGUACCUGCCUGUAAUAAAGAAAACAGAACUUAAGUUCA